CUAUCUUCUUGAAAAUGGUGGGGGCAAAAGGAAUACCAUAUACCAGCAACCUAAAAUGAUAUCUAAUACAGCAAU
This is a long non-coding RNA of Mustela erminea (ermine), 75 nucleotides long. RefSeq lists it as uncharacterized. Lineage: Eukaryota; Metazoa; Chordata; Mammalia; Carnivora; Mustelidae. The transcript is spliced from 3 exons. The record is from RefSeq and is a predicted model, not a curated record.